AUACGGAGGGUGCAAGCGUUACCCGGAAUCACUGGGCGUAAAGCGCGUGCAGGCGGCUUGAUAAGUUGGAUGUGAAAGCCUACGGCUCAACCGUAGAACUGCAUCCAAAACUGUCAGGCUAGAGUGUGGGAGAGGAAGAUGGAAUUAGUUGUGUAGGGGUAAAAUCCGUAGAGAUAACUAGGAAUACCAAAAGCGAAGGCAAUCUUCUGGAACAGUACUGACGCUGAGGCGCGAAAGCGUGGGGAGCAAACAGGAUUAGAAACCCCAGUAGUCC
RNAcentral lists this ribosomal RNA (274 nucleotides) under uncultured bacterium. RNAcentral's name for it is "partial 16S ribosomal RNA". It matches the Rfam family "Bacterial small subunit ribosomal RNA", at positions 523 to 796 of the family's 1533-position model. The record is from RNAcentral.